RNAcentral lists this ribosomal RNA (836 nucleotides) under uncultured bacterium. Its description in RNAcentral is "bacterial SSU rRNA". It matches the Rfam family "Bacterial small subunit ribosomal RNA", at positions 55 to 888 of the family's 1533-position model. The record is from RNAcentral.
AUGCAAGUCGAACGGUAACGGGCCUUCGGGUGCCGACGAGUGGCGAACGGGGGAGUAAUGCAUCGGAACGUACCCAUUAGUGGGGGAUAACUCUCCGAAAGGAGGGCUAAUACCGCAUAUUCUGUGAGCAGGAAAGCAGGGGAUCGCAAGACCUUGCGCUGAUGGAGCGGCCGAUGUCAGAUUAGCUAGUUGGUGAGGUAAAGGCUCACCAAGGCGACGAUCUGUAGCGGGUCUGAGAGGAUGAUCCGCCACACUGGAACUGAGACACGGUCCAGACUCCUACGGGAGGCAGCAGUGGGGAAUUUUGGACAAUGGGGGCAACCCUGAUCCAGCCAUGCCGCGUGAGUGAAGAAGGCCUUCGGGUUGUAAAGCUCUUUCGGCCAGGAAGAAAUCGCAUGGGUUAAUACCCUGUGUGGAUGACGGUACCGGAAUAAGAAGCACCGGCUAACUACGUGCCAGCAGCCGCGGUAAAACGUAGGGUGCGAGCGUUAAUCGGAAUUACUGGGCGUAAAGCGUGCACAGGCGGUUUUGUAAGACAGGCGUGAAAUCCCCGGGCUUAACCUGGGAACUGCGCUUGUGACUGCAAGGCUAGAGUACGGCAGAGGGGGGUGGAAUUCCACGUGUAGCAGUGAAAUGCGUAGAGAUGUGGAGGAACACCGAUGGCGAAGGCAGCCCCCUGGGCCGAUACUGACGCUCAUGCACGAAAGCGUGGGGAGCAAACAGGAUUAGAUACCCUGGUAGUCCACGCCCUAACGAUGUCAACUAGGUGUUGGGUGGGUAAAACCAUUUAGUACCGGAGCUAACGCGUGAAGUUGACCGCCUGGGGAGUACGGCCG